This 530-nucleotide ribosomal RNA is filed under the name uncultured bacterium. RNAcentral describes it as "bacterial SSU rRNA". It matches the Rfam family "Bacterial small subunit ribosomal RNA", at positions 777 to 1304 of the family's 1533-position model. The record is from RNAcentral.
AAUAGAUACCCGGGUAGUCCACGCCGUAAACCGAUGAGUGCUGAGUGUUAGAGGGUUUCCGCCCUUUAGUGCUGCAGCUAACGCAUUAAGCACUCCGCCUGGGGAGUACGGCCGCAAGGCUGAAACUCAAAGGAAUUGACGGGGGCCCGCACAAGCGGUGGAGCAUGUGGUUUAAUUCGAAGCAACGCGAAGAACCUUACCAGGUCUUGACAUCCUCUGCCAACCCUAGAGAUAGGGCGUUCCCCUUCGGGGGACAGAGUGACAGGUGGUGCAUGGUUGUCGUCAGCUCGUGUCGUGAGAUGUUGGGUUAAGUCCCGCAACGAGCGCAACCCUUGAUCUUAGUUGCCAGCAUUCAGUUGGGCACUCUAAGGUGACUGCCGGUGACAAACCGGAGGAAGGUGGGGAUGACGUCAAAUCAUCAUGCCCCUUAUGACCUGGGCUACACACGUGCUACAAUGGAUGGUACAAAGAGCUGCGAACCCGCGAGGGUAAGCCAAUCUCAUAAAGCCAUUCUCAGUUCGGAUUGUAGG